UUGGAGGGCAAGUCUGGUGCCAGCAGCCGCGGUAAUUCCAGCUCCAAUAGCGUAUAUUAAAGUUGUUGCAGUUAAAAAGCUCGUAGUUGAAUUUCGGAAUUUUUUUAUCGGUUGAAUCAACAGGUUCGUACUGAUUUUAAGAAUUUCUACCUUCUGGAGAACCUUAAUGUCAUUUAUUUGAUGUUUUGGGAAACCAGGACUGUUACCUUGAAAAAAUUAGAGUGUUUAAAGCAGGCUUAUGUCUGAAUAUAUUAGCAUGGAAUAAUGAAAUAGGACGGCAUGGUUCUAUUUUGUUGGUUUCUAGGAUCACCGUAAUGAUUAAUAGGGAUAGUUGGGGGCAUUAGUAUUCAAUUGUCAGAGGUGAAAUUCUUGGAUUUAUUGAAGACUAACUUCUGCGAAAACAUUUGCCAAGGAUGUUUUCACUAAUCAAGAACGAAAGUUAGGGGAUCGAAGACGAUCAGAUACCGUCGUAGUCUUAACCAUAAACUAUGCCGACUAGGAAUCGGACGAAGUUAAUUUUUUAAUGACUCGUUCGGCGCCUUACGGGAAAC
RNAcentral lists this ribosomal RNA (551 nucleotides) under uncultured Glomeromycotina. Its description in RNAcentral is "SSU rRNA". It matches the Rfam family "Eukaryotic small subunit ribosomal RNA", at positions 548 to 1098 of the family's 1831-position model. The record is from RNAcentral. Lineage: Eukaryota; Fungi; Glomeromycota.